GUAAAAGUCGUAACAAGGUCUCCGUUGGUGAACCAGCGGAGGGAUCAUUACCGAGUUUACAACUCCCAAACCCCUGUGAACAUACCUUAAUGUUGCCUCGGCGGAUCAGCCCGCGCCCCGUAAA
This 124-nucleotide ribosomal RNA is filed under the name Fusarium sporotrichioides. Its description in RNAcentral is "partial 18S ribosomal RNA". The stretch from base 1 to 50 matches the Rfam family "Eukaryotic small subunit ribosomal RNA", at positions 1782 to 1831 of the family's 1831-position model. RNAcentral also lists the same sequence under 1 other name. Lineage: Eukaryota; Fungi; Ascomycota; Sordariomycetes; Hypocreales; Nectriaceae. The record is from RNAcentral.